RNAcentral lists this ribosomal RNA (453 nucleotides) under uncultured bacterium. RNAcentral's name for it is "partial 16S ribosomal RNA". It matches the Rfam family "Bacterial small subunit ribosomal RNA", at positions 28 to 507 of the family's 1533-position model. The record is from RNAcentral.
GAUGAACGCUGACAGAAUGCUUAACACAUGCAAGUCAACUUGAACUUCGGUUUGGGUGGCGGACGGGUGAGUAACGCGUAAAGAACUUGCCUCACAGCUAGGGACAACAUUUGGAAACGAAUGCUAUACCUGAUAUUAUGAUUAUAUGGCAUCGUAUAAUUAUGAAAGCUAUAUGCGCUGUGAGAGAGCUUUGCGUGACAUUAGCUAGUUGGAGAGGUAACAGCGCACCAAGGCGAUGAUGGGUAGCCGGCCUGGGAUGGUGAUCGGCCACAAGGGGACUGAGACACGGCCCUUACGCCUACGGGAGGCAGCAGUGGGGAAUAUUGGACAAUAGACCGAGAGUGUGAUCCAGCAAUUCUGUGUGCACGAUAAAGUUUUUCGGAAUGUAAAGUGCUUUCAGUUGGGAAGAAAAAAAUGACGGUACCAACAGAAGAAGUGACGGCUAAAUACGUG